UCCUACGGGAGGCAGCAGUGAGGAAUAUUGGUCAAUGGACGGAAGUCUGAACCAGCCAUGCCGCGUGCAGGAUGACUGCCCUAUGGGUUGUAAACUGCUUUUCUGAAGGAAGAAAAGUACCUACGUGUAGGUAUUUGCCGGUACUUCAGGAAUAAGGAUCGGCUAACUCCGUGCCAGCAGCCGCGGUAAUACGGAGGAUCCGAGCGUUAUCCGGAUUUAUUGGGUUUAAAGGGUGCGUAGGCGGUAUAAUAAGUCAGUGGUGAAAGUCUGUGACUCAACCAUAGAAGUGCCAUUGAAACUGUUAUACUUGAGUAUAGAUGAGGUAUGCGGAAUGUGUAAUGUAGCGGUGAAAUGCUUAGAUAUUACACAGAACACCGAUUGCGAAGGCAGCAUACUAAGCUAUAACUGACGCUGAUGCACGAAAGCGUGGGUAGCGAACAGGAUUAGAUACCCUGGUAGUCCACGCCGUAAACGAUGAUCACUCGUUGUUGGCGACAUAAAGUCAGUGACUGAGCGAAAGCAUUAAGUGAUCCACCUGGGGAGUACGUUGGCAACGAUGAAACUCAAAUGAAUUGACGG
RNAcentral lists this ribosomal RNA (579 nucleotides) under uncultured bacterium. Its description in RNAcentral is "bacterial SSU rRNA". It matches the Rfam family "Bacterial small subunit ribosomal RNA", at positions 337 to 916 of the family's 1533-position model. The record is from RNAcentral.